This 501-nucleotide ribosomal RNA is filed under the name uncultured bacterium. RNAcentral describes it as "bacterial SSU rRNA". It matches the Rfam family "Bacterial small subunit ribosomal RNA", at positions 28 to 528 of the family's 1533-position model. The record is from RNAcentral.
GAUGAACGCUAGCUGGAGGCUUAAUACAUGCAAGUCGAGCGGGAUUGGGUAGCAAUACCCAUGAGAGCGGCGCACGGGUGAGUAACGCGUACACGACCUACCUCUGACAGGGGGAUAGCCCUGGGAAACUGGGAUUAAUACCGCAUAUUAUUCUGAAUAAUAAAGGUUUGGAAUGAAAGCUGAGGCGGUCAGAGAUGGGUGUGCGUCUGAUUAGCUAGUUGGUAGGGUAACGGCCUACCAAGGCGAUGAUCAGUAGGGGGCGUGAGAGCGUGGUCCCCCACACGGGUACUGAGACACGGACCCGACUCCUAUGGGAGGCAGCAGUAAGGAAUAUUGGUCAAUGGGCGAAAGCCUGAACCAGCCAUCCAGCGUGCAGGAAGAAGGCCCUAUGGGUUGUAAACUGCUUUUAUCAGGGAAGAAACCUCUGGAUUUACUCCGGAGCUGACGGUACCUGAAGAAUAAGCACCGGCUAACUCCGUGCCAGCAGCCGCGGUAAAGUGU